UACGGGGGGAGCAAGCGUUGUUCGGAUUUACUGGGCGUAAAGGGCGCGUAGGCGGCGCAACAAGUCAAUUGUGAAAUCUCCGGGCUUAACUCGGAGCGGCCAAGUGAUACUGUCGUGCUAGAGUGCGGAAGGGGCAACUGGAAUUCUCGGUGUAGCGGUGAAAUGCGUAGAUAUCGAGAGGAACACCUGCGGCGAAGGCGGGUUGCUGGGCCGACACUGACGCUGAGGCGCGAAAGCGUGGGGAGCGAACGGG
Molecule: ribosomal RNA, 253 nt
Filed under: uncultured bacterium
Lineage: Bacteria
Description: partial 16S ribosomal RNA
Rfam family: Bacterial small subunit ribosomal RNA
Source: RNAcentral